This 460-nucleotide ribosomal RNA is filed under the name uncultured bacterium. Its description in RNAcentral is "partial 16S ribosomal RNA". It matches the Rfam family "Bacterial small subunit ribosomal RNA", at positions 338 to 795 of the family's 1533-position model. The record is from RNAcentral.
CCUACGGGAGGCAGCAGUGAGGAAUAUUGGUCAAUGGGCGCGAGCCUGAACCAGCCAAGUAGCGUGAAGGAUGAAUGCCCUACGGGUUGUAAACUUCUUUUAUAAAGGAAUAAAGUGAGGCACGUGUGCCUUUUUGUAUGUACUUUAUGAAUAAGGAUCGGCUAACUCCGUGCCAGCAGCCGCGGUAAUACGGAGGAUCCGAGCGUUAUCCGGAUUUAUUGGGUUUAAAGGGAGCGUAGAUGGGUUGUUAAGUCAGUUGUGAAAGUUUGUGGCUCAACCGUAAAAUUGCAAUUGAUACUGGCGGUCUUGAGUACAGUUGAGGUAGGCGGAAUUCGUGGUGUAGCGGUGAAAUGCUUAGAUAUCACGAAGAACUCCGAUUGCGAAGGCAGCUUACUAAACUGCCACUGACACUGAGGCUCGAAAGUGUGGGUAUCAAACAGGAUUAGAUACCCGUGUAGUC